CCUACGGGAGGCAGCAGUCGAGAAUCAUUCACAAUGGGGGAAACCCUGAUGGUGCGACGCCGCGUGGGGGAAUGAAGGUCUUCGGAUUGUAAACCCCUGUCAUGUGGGAGCAAAUUAAAAAGAUAGUACCACAAGAGGAAGAGACGGCUAACUCUGUGCCAGCAGCCGCGGUAAUACAGAGGUCUCAAGCGUUGUUCGGAAUCACUGGGCGUAAAGCGUGCGUAGGCUGUUUCGUAAGUCGUGUGUGAAAGGCGCGGGCUCAACCCGCGGACGGCACAUGAUACUGCGAGACUAGAGUAAGGGAGGGGGAACCGGAAUUCUCGGUGUAGCAGGGAAAUGCGUAGAUAUCGAGAGGAACACUCGUGGCGAAGGCGGGUUCCUGGACAUUAACUGACGCUGAGGCACGAAGGCCAGGGGAGCGAAAGGGAUUAGAUACCCUAGUAGUC
This 446-nucleotide ribosomal RNA is filed under the name uncultured bacterium. RNAcentral describes it as "partial 16S ribosomal RNA". It matches the Rfam family "Bacterial small subunit ribosomal RNA", at positions 338 to 795 of the family's 1533-position model. The record is from RNAcentral.